This 72-nucleotide transfer RNA is filed under the name Odontobutis haifengensis. Its description in RNAcentral is "tRNA-Trp". It matches the Rfam family "tRNA". From Rfam's summary of the family: Transfer RNA (tRNA) molecules are approximately 80 nucleotides in length. Lineage: Eukaryota; Metazoa; Chordata; Actinopteri; Gobiiformes; Odontobutidae. The record is from RNAcentral.
AGGAGCUUAGGUUAAUACCCAGACCAAGAGCCUUCAAAGCCCUGAGCGGGAGUUAAAGUCUCCCAGACCCUA